Molecule: unclassified non-coding RNA, 117 nt
Organism: Papio anubis (olive baboon)
Lineage: Eukaryota; Metazoa; Chordata; Mammalia; Primates; Cercopithecidae
Rfam family: Metazoan signal recognition particle RNA
About the family: The signal recognition particle (SRP) is a universally conserved ribonucleoprotein. It is involved in the co-translational targeting of proteins to membranes.
Source: Ensembl
GCUGGGCAUGGUGGCUUAUGCCUGUAAUCCCAGAACUUUGGGAAGCUGAGGUAGGAGGAUCACCUGAGGUCAGGAGUUCAAGACCAGCCUGACCAACAUGGUGAAACCCUGUCUCUA